Molecule: long non-coding RNA, 7289 nt
Filed under: Capsicum annuum
Lineage: Eukaryota; Viridiplantae; Streptophyta; Magnoliopsida; Solanales; Solanaceae
Description: long non-coding RNA (CANN_LNC008874)
Source: RNAcentral
UAAAAAUUAAAUUAUUUACAAAGUUAAAAAUCAAAUUAUUUACAAUACAAUCCACCAAUCAUUUACAAACAUUAAAAAUCAAAUCAAAUUAUUUACAAUACAACCCACCAAUCAUUUAAUAUACAAUCAACCAACCACCAUAAGAAUACAAACAUUAAAAAUCAAAUUAUUUACAAAAUUUAUCAAGGUUCCAAAUCCAAACUAUAAAACAUACAAAAGACUAAAAACUACAACUCAUCAUCCACAUCUUCAUUCCCAGCCUCACCCAUUCUAUUAUCAAUAUUUCGUUGAUAUAUCCAGCUAUAAUGAGGUUCCAUCUACACAAUCAAACAUGUUCAAGUAAUUAGUUCAAGUCACAAAAGUUCACAUUUCAAAUACCUACACUGAAAUAUUUUCAAGUCAUUAAUUCACUUCACAAGUUAUCAAACUAAACUAAAUUCAAAAUGAAAAGUUCACGUUUCAAGUACCUACACUUAAACAUUUUGAAGUCACUAAUUUACUUCUCAAGUAACCACACUUUACUAAAAUCAAAAUGCAAGUUCACAUUUCAAGUACCUAAAUUCAAAACAAAAGUCGCUAAUUCAUAAUUCAAGUAACUACACUUAAAUAUUUCAAGUCACUGAUUCACUUCACAAGUUACCAAAGUAAAAUAAAUUCAAAAUGAAAAGUUCACAUUUCAAGUACCUACACCUAAAUAUUUUCACGUCACUAAGUCACUUCUCAAGUGACCACACUAAACUAUAUUCAAAACACAAGUCCACCUUUCAAGUAACUACACUUAAACAUUUUCGACUCAGUAAUGCACUUCUCAAGAGACCACACAACUAAAUUCAAAACACAAGUCCACAUUUCAAGUACCUACACUUAAACAUUUUCAAGUACUUAUUCACUUCUCAAGUGACUACACUUAACUAAAUUCAAAACACAAGUCCACAUUUCAAGUACCUACACAUGCAUUUUCAAGUCACUAACUCAAUUCUCAAGUGACCACACUUAACUAAAUUCAAAACACAAGUCCAUAUUUCAAGUACCUACACUUAAACAUUUUCAAGUACUUAUUCAGUUCUCAAGUGACCACACUUAACUAAAUUCAAAACAUAAGUCCAUAUUUCAAGUACCUACACUUAUGCAUUUUCAAGUCACUAACUCACUUCUCAAGUGACCACGCUUAACUAAAUUCAAAGAACAAGUUCACAUUUCAAGUACCUACACUUAUGCAUUUUCAAGUCACUAACUCACUUCUCAAGUGACCACGCUUAACUAAAUUCAAAACACAAGUUCACAUUUCAAGUACCUACACUUAAACAUUUUCAAGUCACUAAUUCACUUCUCAAGUGGUCACACUUAACUAAAUUCAAAACACAAGUCCACGUUUCAAGUACCUACACUUAUGCAUUUUCAAGUCACUAACUCACUUCUCAAGUGAUCACGCUUAACUAAAUUCAAAACACAAGUUCAUAAUUCAAGUAACUACACCUAAAAAUUUCAAGUCACUAAUUCACUUCACAAGUGACCACACUUAACUAAAUUUAAAACACAAGUCCACGUUUCAAGUACCUACACUUAUGCAUUUUCAAGUACUUAUUUACUUCUCAAGUGACCACACUUAACUAAAUUCAAAGUACAAGUCCACAUUUCAAGUACCUUAAAUAAAAAAAAUUUCCUUUAAAGUCCCUACACUUAAUUUAACUAAAUUCAAAGUACAAGUCCACAUUUCAAGUACCUUAAAUAAAAAAAAAUUUUCUUUAAAGUCCCUACACUUAAUUUAACUAAAUUCAAAGUACAAGUCCACAUUUCAAGUACCUUAAAUAAAAAAAAUCCCUUUAAAGUCCCUACACUUAACCAUUUUCAAGUGACCAAGUCACCAACCAAACCACAUUCAAAAUACAAAAUCCCCUUUAAAGUCCCUACACUUAAUCAGUUUCAAGUCAUGUACUAGCAUUUCAAGUCACUAAACUAUUUUCAAUUAACUAAUUCACAUUUUCAAGUCACUAUACUUAACCAUUUUCAAAUAACUACAUUUAACCAUUUUCAAGUCACUAGUACACAUUUUAAGUCACUACACUAACUAUUUUCAAAUAACUAAUUCACAUUGCAAAUCACUAUACGUAUCCACUUUCAAGUAACUAAACCUAACCAUUUUCAAGUCACUAGUACACAUUUUGAUACAAGAAUGACCAACGACCAAGAACAUACCAAAACAUACAUCCAAAACAGUCCACAAGUUCAAGAGAAUCGAGGACCCUAUGAAUGACCACUCUCGGAUUCACAAACAAUAACAAGACCACAAUGUAGUGAAGUGUUUAACACCUAUUUUCCAGCCAACAAUCCAAACUAGAUUAUCAACACAAGACAAAAACAACACUAUAACAACAACAAGACAGUCACGAGUACAUUAACAACAACAAGAAUCCGACGAAUACAACAAGAUACAAGAUAAAUAGUUAGACCUUGGUUGGAAUUAUCUUAGCCCUCCAUUAACACAUAACCCAACUAUACAUAAUACCCAUAUAACAACAGUAAAAAUUAUCUAGGCUAAUAGAGAGCCAACAAUUAAUCAAGCAUGUUUUGAAAUCCAACAACAAAUAUGACGUUUAACAAGCAAUAAAAAAAUAUGAUGUCUAACAACCAGUCUCGCCGGUGGCUGUCAUUACUAGCAUGAAUGGAGGGAGCUGGCGGCGAUGGCUUGAGGGAUUUCGCCGGUGAGCGUCGUUGGGUGGCUGUUCUCGCCGGUGUCAAUGGAGAAGAGGCGACGGCGAGGGAAGAGUGAGGGAUGUGGUGGCUACAUUAUUGGUUGUUCGCAGGAGAAGGAAAGGACGGUGGCGGCGGGCGGGUAACUGGUGGUUCUUGUUGGAGAGAGAGUGGAGGAAAAAAAGAGAAAGGGGAAGGAGAUGGAAGAAAAUAUGGUUGUUAUGGGAAAUUAGGGUUAGGUUUGGUUUAAAAGGAAAGAAAAUGAAAAUGUGAUCUUGACCGUUGGAUCGAUUUUGAUCGACGGCUGAGUUUAGAAUAAUUUAAAAAUGGGUUAAAAAUUAAAAUUAGUGUCAAAUUGGCUGAAAUUGACAUUAAUUGAAUACAAAUUGGCUAUAAUUUAAAUACAUAAGUGAAUAAAUUGAAAUCGGCUGCUAUUAUAAUAAUGACGAAAGAAAAACAUAAUGAGACAUUGAUGUAAAAAUUAAUGUUACGAAAUAAUAAUAAUAAUAAUAAUAAUAAUAAUAAUAAUAAUAUUUUUGUAAAUUGUAAGUGUGCCUAUUUAUAAAAACAAUAAUUUAAUAAAUGUUAAUAAAAUUAUGUAAAAUAUCGUAUUUGAGUUAGUAAAUUGUAAAAAUGAUACUAAAAGUAAAAUAAAAUAUAUUGUAUGUUUUUUAAAUCAUGAAUGUGACACGUCAAUAUCUUUUUGAUACAAGAAUAAUGUGUAAAAAAUACUAAUGUUUGAAAUUAAUAAUUUUUUAUAAAACAACAACCUAAAAGGAGUAUCUAACGGUCAAAAUUGGAUAUCAAAUACAUACUAUAAACAUCACUUGCAUACACGAUUUUACGAUCCCUUAAUACUAUAUAACGUAUUUCACAUAUAAUCAGAUGAAUUAUCGUUAGAUUAUCUUAUGUCAUUAAUAUACCUUCACUAUAUAAUAUGUAUGUACAUAUACAUACACACGCAUAUACGCACCAUCGACUAUAUUAAGUUCUAAAUACAUACUAUAUACAUCACAUACAUACAAGAAUAUAUGAUCCAAUAAUAUAAUGUGAUGUAUUUCACAUACAUACUCUGAUAAGUGAUCGGUUAAUUUGAUUAGCUUAUAUUAAUAUAACUUCAACGUACAGUAUAUAUUAUUACUUCUGUCGUUUUAGAUCAAGCUAUUCAAUAUGUUUGGAUAGAUUCUAAUAGUUUUUUACUACAUCGUUCAUUAAUCGAUCACUAUAUAUAUAUAUAUAAAGAUAUUUAUAUAUAUGAACUCUUGAAUGCGUAUUAUAUACAUCACAUCCACAAGUAUAUUACCUUAUAAUAGAACACGUUCAUUAUAUUCUGGUGAAUUAUCGAUUAUAUAUUAUAUUAUUAUGACUACAAAUACAUACCAUAAACAUCAAAUUUCAAAUAUGUACUAUAUAAACAUCAGUUUUCAGCUUUCAAAUACGUACUAUAAACAUCAUUUUUCAAUUAUAUGUCCCAACGGUAUGACAUAUAUAUAUACAUAUUCAUUAUACAAAGACUAUGCAUGUUUAACGUCAUUUAAUGUGUAUAUAAAGGAAAUAUUUAUUUUAUAUAUUUAAACAUAAGUAAAAGAUAAAGAUUACGUUUAAAUAUACACAUAUUCAUUAUACAGAAAUUAUGCAUGUUUAACGUCAUUUAAUGUAAGGGUCAAUCAAAAGCAGCCUCUCUACUUCCUCAGAGGUAGUGGUAUGGAUUACAUACAUUUUACCCUCCCCAGACCUCACUUUGUGGAAAUAUACUGGAUCUAUUGUUGUUCUAACGUCAUUUAAUGUAUAUAUAAAGGAAAAUAUUUAUUUCAUAUAUUAAAACAUAAGUAAAAGAUUACGUUUAACGUGAUUUAUAUAUUAUAUUUGAUAUAUUUUUUAGUGUAAGUUUUUCACAAAAUCUAAGAUUUAUUGAUUUUAUUAUUAUUAUAUUGUUUAUUGACUACGUGUAAUCAAUAUAAUUUUAAAAAAUAAUAUAUUAGAUUAUAUAUAUAUUCUAAUAUAUUAAUUUUACUACUAAUAAUAAUUAGAUUACAUAAAGUAAAUAUUAGAUUAUAUAAUUAUUUACUUUUUUUUUUAAUUCCAAAACCGACCACAAGUGGUCAGCUUUUAAAAUUAUUUUUUUAUUUUAAUGAAAAACCGACCACAUGUGAUCGAUUUUUAAUUAUUAUUUUUUUAUUAUUUUAAUUAAAAACCGACCAUAUGUGAUCAUUUUUUAAAAUUAAUUAUUUUUUAUUUUUCAUUAAAAACCGACCACAAGUAGUCGAUUUUUAAAAUUAUUUUUCUUUUUAUUUUAUUUAAAAAUCGACCACAUAUGGUCGAUUUUUUAAAUUAAUUUCUUUUUUUUAAUUUCAUUAAAAACCGACCACAAGUGGUCGAUUUUUUUUUUAAUUCUUUAUUUUUGUUAAAAACCGACCACAUGUGGUCGAUUUUUUUUUAAAUAUAUAUAUUUUGUUAAAAAAAAUUAUAAACCGACUACUCGUGGUCGGUUUUUUUUUAAUUAUUUUUUUUAAAACCGACCACACGUGGUCGGUUUUUAAAAGUAUUUUUUAAUUAUAAUUAUUUAAAGAAAACUGACCACAAAUGGUCGAUUUUGUUAUUUUUUAUUAAUUUUUAUUUGUAAAAGAAAUAAUAAUUAAUAUAAAACUUAUUGAAAUGAUUAUUUUGAUAUUUUAAAAUAUAAAAGCGACCACAUCUUACAAAAAAAUAUUUUAAAAAAAAAAUUAAAAAACCGAUCACAUGUGGUCGUUUUUUUCCGAUCACAUUUUGUGGUCGGUUUUUGCGAUUAUUUUAGUAGUGUAUAUGAUUAAUAAAAGUAAUUUAACAAAAUAAUAUUUACUUAACACUUUACUAAGGAAUUGCAUUAUGAACUACAAGGGAAUUAUGACCACAAAGAGAAAACGCAAUGAUAAUAAGAUAUUCUUACAAAGCAUCUAAUGGAUUAGAUUGGUAUUACAUGGAUAAUUCAAAGAAAACACCAAAAUUAGUAAAUAUUAUAAUGGAUGACACCAUUCUUUUUAUAUACUACUAUACUUAUAUGAUUGGAUUCUAUAAAAAGAAAAGUAAUGUUAAGGAAGAUCUGAUACUAUAUAUUAUCCCAUAUAUAUGAUAUAUAUAUAGAUUUCAAGAGUGAACAUAAUAAUAGUCUAUCUUCUUUUUCUAUCCUAUUGCUAUUUAAUUAUCUUCUAACUCGAAUCCCAAACAAAAUUUGCUAAAUUUUCCACGAAUUUAUAAGGUCUAAAUUCAACGAAUCUCAAAUUAUUCAUCUAUGAUCUUGCAAAAAUCUUUUUUUAAACCACUAGUGCAUUGAAUUCCAACUCAUUUUAAAAGUUGCUAGAUACUUUUGAUAUAGCUCAACUUGAGUUUUAGGAUUAUAUUGAGAACUUGAGAUAGCAUGUUGAAAUAUCAGUAACGACAAAAAAUAUUAGGUGAUUUUUUUUUUUAUGUCUUAACUUUGGUGUACAAAGUUACUUGAUAUCUGUUGUUGGUGAGAGGUGGUAUGUAAACUUGAGAUAUCAAGUUGAAAUAUACAAAAAAAUAUUAGGUGAUCUUUUUUAUGUCUUAACUUAGGUGUACAGAGUUACUUGAUAUCUGUUGUUGGUGAGAGGUGAUAUGUAUCUUGUGGAUUUAGUUCGAGGACGAAGUAGCUUGAACAAACCGCCGAGUAGUUUGUCCUUUUUAUAUUUUUUGAACCUUCUUGAUGAAAAUGUUAGUUCUGCCUCUAAAUUUAUUGAGGUGCGUGAAAAUUGAUCCGAAAAGCAAAGUUACCAAAAAAAAAAUAGGAUAUUGAAAUAAUGUAAUUUGGAUAUUCCCCCUUUCACAUUCUUAUCAUAAGCUUAAAAGAAUUUUUAGAAGUCAAUUAUUCCAUAUAGAGUAAUCCCUUGGGAUUUUAAAAAGGUCUAAUUAUCCAAGAAAUUUUGGAGGAACAAGUAAAUCCUCAAAAGCUAAAUGAUAAUGAUUAUCUUUUUAUAACUAGAUCUUCAUAUCUUCUAAUUCUACACUUUAUAUCAUAAUUUAUUUACUUUAUCUUUUUGGUUUGAAGUCAUCUAUAGGAACAGGAAAAGGGUGAUUUAACUUUGGGGAUGGUGGAUGGGAAGGGAAUUGUGGCAUUCCCCCAAAUUGAUGGAAUAAAACCUUUAACCUCAUAAAACAUCAGUCUUUGAUAAAAAAAAAAUUAAUAUCCACAACAAAUUAACACACUCAAUCCACAAUAACAAAAAUAUAAUCGAUACCAACAAAUGCAAACAACCCAACAAACACAAAAACAAAACAUCGAUUUUUUAAACAUAAAAAGUCAAUCUUUAAUUAGCUAAACUUUAAAAAAAUACUUUUUUUCUCAAACGAACGAGAGGAAAUUAAAAGAAAAAAAUACCGGCGAAUCAAUUCAUAGUUGGGCCAGCUAUGGUCGGUGGCAGUGACGAUAGUUGAGGCGGUGGGAGGAGGGAGAGGACAGUUGUGACUGGGGUUGGGGAAGUGGAUUAACUAAAGAGAAAAUAUGUUAGGGAAUUGAUAGGCACCGUCUAAUCAGAAGGUGUGAAUGACUGAGAUUUAAAUUAUGAUUUGGGCCGGGUUGAGGGCUAUUGAAUUGAGUUAGUUCA